ACCAGUGUGGCAUAGUGAUUUGAGUGCUAGACUAGGACUCUGGAGACCAAGGUUCAAUUCCCAGCUCAGCCA
Molecule: non-coding RNA, 72 nt
Organism: Phrynosoma platyrhinos (Desert horned lizard)
Lineage: Eukaryota; Metazoa; Chordata; Lepidosauria; Squamata; Phrynosomatidae
Source: the annotation of a GenBank genome assembly